UACGAAGGUCCCGAGCGUUAUCCGGAUUUAUUGGGUUUAAAGGGUGCGUAGGCGGGCUAUUAAGUCAGUGGUGAAAGCCUACAGCUUAACUGUAGAAUUGCCAUUGAUACUGAUAGUCUUGAGUAUGAUUGAGGUGGGCGGAAUGUGUCAUGUAGCGGUGAAAUGCUUAGAUAUGACACAGAACACCGAUUGCGAAGGCAGCUCACUAAGCCAUAACUGACGCUGAUGCACGAAAGCGUGGGGAGCAAACAGG
Molecule: ribosomal RNA, 253 nt
Filed under: uncultured bacterium
Lineage: Bacteria
Description: partial 16S ribosomal RNA
Rfam family: Bacterial small subunit ribosomal RNA
Source: RNAcentral